RNAcentral lists this long non-coding RNA (19500 nucleotides) under Solanum tuberosum (potato). Its description in RNAcentral is "long non-coding RNA (STUB_LNC008805)". Lineage: Eukaryota; Viridiplantae; Streptophyta; Magnoliopsida; Solanales; Solanaceae. The record is from RNAcentral.
AUUUUUUUUCUUUUUUCUUUUUUGUUUGUUUGUUUGUUUUACUUUUAAUAACAUGCUAUUAUAAUCAUCAAAAUAUUAUGCAUGCCCUUCCCUUGAAUCGCUCACCCCAAGUCCCAACACGUUUUCCAUAAAACACUAAUUUAAAUUAAAUUCUAACUUCAUCAUCAACCAAGUGAUAUAUAUUUUAAAUUUAUGUUUAAUAAUUAUAAUAAAUUUAUUUAAUUUGAUAUAUUUUGUACAUCUCAUUUUAACGGUUGCCUUAACUCCUUUUUUUUUUGGUUAAUUAACUUUGAUUAAUCACCAACUGAAAUAUUUACAAAGCAAAGAGUUUCUAGUGUCUUUGGCCGUUCCUUACCACUGAAUCAUCAAUCAGUUUUAUUAAAUGGUUUAAUGUUAUUGGUUUGUCCAAACCUCUUGUUAGCUCCGCCCCCCGCCUACCGGAACCAAGAAAGCUAAACUCAGCUAUACUCUACAUAUACUAAGAUGUUUGGUCACGAAUUAUUUUCAUUUUUUCCUCAACUCCGAAAGACAUAUUUAAUCUUAAAAUUUUGAAAUUUAACUUCAAGUUAAAUUUUAAAACUUUCAAAAAAUUAAAAAAUAAAUUAUUCAAAAUAAACUCUAAUUUUUAAUAUUAUUUUUUACUUUAAAAAUAUUUUUUUUUUUCAAAUUUCACAAUUAAAAAGCAACUCAGCAAUCAAAGGCAAACUCGAUGGCAAAUAUGAUUUGAAUAUUCCAGUCAGCAUUUUGUCAACCAACUUAAGCCAUAUUUCACAGUCAUGUUACGUAUAUUCAUAAGCCAAUUUUGGAUUUAAAGACUUUAAGGUGUAUUAAUAUUACUUUUCAGCUACUUAAAAUAAAAAUGUUGAAAAAAGCUUUAGCUAGAUUCAAAACGUGAUCUCAUGAAUAAUUCCUUCAGGUUGUAUGAAUAACACAAGAACACUUACGUACUUUUUUUUGAAUGUAUGGUUAAUUAUAUUCUAAUUUCUCUCAAUUUUUUAAAAUAUAUACAUAAUUUUUUUUAGAAAUUAACAGUUGCACGUACACCUCCGGUAUGAAUCCGCCUCUCCGUAUACUCUCAUUUACACUUUUUAACAAUACCAUGAAUCUGCCCCCUGUUUCUUCAUAAUCCAAACACUAUAUAAAUCUUCUCAACUCCCUCCAUUUUUCUUACUCACAAAACAAAACAAUUUCUUCAUAAUCGUCUCUCCACGAGAAUUCUGAUUUAUAAAUAAUGGACUUCAAAAUCGGUGCAAUCGACACUUGCAAGCCCAUAAAUGGCGACAUAGCAAAUGUACCAACCAAUAAAGCCGUUACAAUCCAAAACUCCACCAUUCCAUUCAAUUCCCCUGACUCAACACUCGGCCGUCACCUCGCCCGCCGUUUAGUCCAAAUCGGAGUAACCGACGUUUUCUCCGUUCCCGGUGAUUUCAAUUUGACACUUCUCGAUCAUCUCAUUGCUGAACCUGAACUUAACCUUAUAGGUUGUUGUAAUGAGCUAAAUGCCGGUUAUGCAGCUGAUGGAUAUGCUAGGGCACGGGGAAUUGGGGCUUGUGUUGUUACCUUCACCGUCGGUGGAUUAAGUAUUGUUAAUGCAAUUGCUGGUGCUUAUAGUGAAAAUUUACCUUUGAUUUGUAUUGUUGGUGGACCUAAUUCGAAUGAUUAUGGAACUAAUAGAAUCCUUCAUCAUACUAUUGGGUUACAUGAUUUUAGUCAGGAGCUUCGUUGUUUUCAAACUGUUACUUGCUAUCAGGUAGGUUCAUCAAUUUUACUACUCCGAUGGCCUAAUUUAUGUGGCACUGUUGAAAUUUCGAGAUUUAAAUCGUAUGAACCUGUUGUUUGAUUUUGGAGUAUUUUUUUUGUGGGUUUUGCAGGCUGUGUUGAAUAAUUUAGACGAUGCUCAUGAGCUGAUUGAUACUGCAAUUUCCACAUCUUUGAAAGAGAGUAAGCCGGUUUAUAUUAGUGUAGGAUGUAAUUUGCCCGGGAUUCCACACCCUACGUUCAGUCGUGAGCCAGUUCCAUUUUCCCUCUCUCCAAGGUAAAAUAUUAUUUUCUACGUCUAUUCGGAGAAACUAUUUACGUCAAGUAGCUCAUGUUUUGAGCUUGUUACACUUUUAUAUACUCCAGACAUAAUGUUGUAAUAAUAUUGUAUAUUGGACACACAUAUUUUGAAAAUGUUCCCUAAAAUAUAUUCUUUGACCUUUGUUUAUAUUUUUUUAAAAAAAAUUCUGUUCUGAUUGUAGACUCUGUUUUCAUGAUGAAGUCGUUUAUAUGAGUUCGGUCCAAUCUAAUAAUUUUUGUUCAAAUAAGUUUAUUAAAAUAUCAAAAACUUUUAAGUUCAGAAACUAGUUAUUAACACUUGAAAUCGUCCUAUAAAAUUCAUCAGAAUCGUAAGGUUAAAAUUCUGGCUUCGCCUUUGUGUUUAAGUAUCCGAGUUUCUUUUUUUUUUUUUUUUUUUUUUUUUUUUUUUUUUUUUUUUUUUUUUUUUUUUUUUUUUUUUUUUUUUUUUUUUUUUUUGUGGUAUAGAUUAAGUAAUAUGAUAGGCUUGGAAGCAGCAGUGGAAGCAGCGGCUGAGUUCUUGAACAAAGCAGUAAAGCCAGUGCUUGUUGGAGGGCAAAAUAUGCGCGUUGCAAAGGCAUGUGAUGCUUUUGUUGAGCUGGCUGACAGCUGUGGUUAUGCGGUGGCAGUGAUGCCAGCCGCUAAAGGUUUGGUUCCGGAACACCAUCCACAUUUCUUAGGAACUUACUGGGGUGCAGUGAGCACGACCUUCUGUGCUGAAAUUGUUGAAUCUGCUGAUGCGUACUUGUUUGCUGGACCAAUUUUUAACGACUAUAGUUCUGUUGGUUAUUCUCUUCUUCUCAAGAAAGAGAAAGCGAUCAUUGUCCAGCCUGAUCGUGUGACAAUUGGGAACGGACCUGCAUUUGGUUGUGUUCUGAUGAGGGAUUUCCUUUCCGCAUUAGCAAAGAGAUUAAAGCAUAAUCCAACUUCUUAUGAGAAUUAUCAUAGGAUUUAUGUUCCUGAUGGACUUCCUCUCAAAUGUGAGCCUAAGGAGGCAUUAAGGGUUAACGUUCUAUUUCAGCACAUUCAGAAUAUGUUGACUGGUGAGAGUGCUGUGAUUGCUGAGACGGGGGACUCGUGGUUCAACUGUCAGAAGCUGAAAUUGCCACAAGGAUGUGGGUGAGAACAGAACAAAUUAAAUCUACGCAAAUUGCUGUCAUUUUGGUAUUUAUUUCCAUCAUCAUAACAAGUUUUGUUCUUCUUGAUUGUCGUUUUUAGGUAUGAGUUCCAAAUGCAGUAUGGAUCUAUUGGUUGGUCUGUUGGUGCAACUCUUGGUUAUGCACAAGCUGCACCAGAAAAACGGGUGAUUGCCUGCAUCGGUGAUGGUAGCUUUCAGGUAAUUGAAAAUAGAGGAGAAUGAAUUGUUGGCGUUCUCCGGUGUGUCUAAUCCAACUUUAUGGCAAAUGAAAUGUACUUGCAGGUGACUGCUCAAGAUAUUUCAACAAUGCUAAGGUGUGGGCAGAGGACCAUUAUCUUCUUGAUAAACAACGGUGGUUAUACAAUUGAAGUUGAGAUCCAUGAUGGACCUUACAAUGUGAUCAAGAAUUGGAACUACACAGGAUUAGUCGAUGCAAUCCAUAACGGAGAAGGAAAAUGUUGGACAACUAAGGUGAGUGGAAGUUCAAAUUUUCAAUCAUCGCCUUUGUUUUUUACUCUGAACCUUGAAUGAAAGGAUUUAAAUAUAUUGAACGUCUCGAUUGUAUGUAGGUUUAUUGUGAAGAGGAGUUGGUGGAAGCAAUUGAAACAGCAAAUGGAGCAAAGAAAGAUUGUUUGUGUUUCAUUGAAGUGAUUGUCCACAAAGAUGACACUAGCAAAGAGCUGCUUGAAUGGGGUUCUAGGGUCUCAGCAGCUAAUAGUCGUCCACCAAAUCCACAGUAAAAUCUCUACUUGUUCAAAGUUACUGCAAAAUAUUCUUGCAAUUUGGGAGUUGCCACUAUAUGCUGUAAUAUUUUUUUCCCAGUGAGGGGUUGUAUUCCACUAACAUGGAUGGUUGGUGUUGUAUUGUUAUUUUAAAUACGAUGUUUAUUUUCAUUAUUACUUAAAUUCUAUUGUAUCGUAUCGUUUAAAUUCAUCAUUAGGUAACGAUCAACUUGGUGUGAUCGUGUCGUUACCUUAAUAUUUUCCUCUCCUUUUGUCUUUAUUUAUUAUUUAAUAAUUAUAUUUUAUCUUUUAUCCUACAUUUUCAUAAUAGCUCUACCUUGCACCUCGUUUUUCUUGUAGGUUUAUCAUUCAAAUUGUGGAUGUGUGACAUUAUGUAAUGGUGGAAAACGAUACAAUUUAUCCAAAUAUUGUAUUCAUUUAAACAAUAUAAUACGAUACAACAAUAUACAAUACAUUAUGAAACAAUACAUAACAACCAUUCACUCAUACCAUUUUAUGCCUUAGCAUAAAUUAUUUAAUUUUUGAAAUUUUGGGACUGAUUUUCAUUUUUUGGAAUUUUUUUUAAUACGGGUGAAUUUUUUAAAAUCUACUGAUGAUUUUAGAAUUUUAGUUUUUUUUUUUCAAAAAAAAGAAAUUAAUGAUGAAGCUGAAAUUUGAGUUGAUUUCGUGAAGAAUGGAAGAUGUUGAAAAUUUGGGAGUUGUUUAUGUUCUUAAAAAAAGAAGCAAAAAGUGUACAUUUGAUCCAAAAACUCCAAUUGAAAAGUGUUAAACCUUGUUUGGGUGUAAAAAAUGGUUUAGCAAAACUGUAGUUAAAAAAAGGCAUGAAUGAACCUUUUCUUUAACAAUAAUGACAUAUAUGAGCCAAACUUUUAACAGAUGACAUAAAUAAGUUUUUUCUAAAAGUUUGAUGACAUAUUUGAUUUUUUUUCCCUUAAAAAAAUAUAAUACUAUUAUAUAUGAUUUUAGGAGGAAAACAUGGGUUCACGUGAACCCGGUGACCUCUUCUCGGAUACGUUGGCCUUUUGUCGACAAGCAAGAAUCUUGAAUAUUCUGUUCUCCAUGUUAGGGUGGGGGCUGCUAAUGGACUAGUAGAAGCCAACUAAACGAGGACACAUGUCAUAUUAAGGGUGCAUGUAAGACACGCGUAAGUCUUAGAGAAGAAAAUACCUUGACCUACAAGUCUAAAACCAUGAGGAGGUGUAGAUAUUUACUUUUUUUGCUGCCUCAACACUGCCACAAUUUAAUAUUUAAAAAUUAUAAGAAAUUAUUACACUUGUCAUAUAAAUAUGAUUAAUAUAUUAUCUAAAAAUGUUGAUCAGAGAUUCAUAUAAUUUGACUUUAUAAAAGAAGUAUUUUCUCGGUUCAUUUUUAAUUGUCACUGUUUAACUUGAUACAUUUAUUAAGAAAAUAAUUAUUGCUAUAGAUAUUUUAUCAAGCUAUCCUAUUAAAUGAUGUUUAGUACUUCUUCUGUCUCUAAUUACUUGUCUAAUUUUCUUUUUUUAGUUGUCUCUUUUUAUUUGUUCAUUUUGAUAAAUCAAGAAAAGACAAUUUUUUUUUACUUAUUAUAUCCUCAAUUAAUUAAUUUUGAAAAAACUACAACUUCUUGAAAAUUUUAAAUUAUUAAUUCAUCUACUUCAUAAUUAAUAAGGAUAAAAUGAUAAGCUCAUUAUGUCAAUCAUUAUUUUUUUAAUAGGUGUGUCAAUUCAAAAGUGGACAAAUAAUUGGGGACAGAGGGAGUACUACAUCUUAGAGAAUGAUUUGGAGAACAAAUAUUUAAUGCCGUGGGUAAAACAUGAAAAAAAAUAAUUAUUUUAUUUUUUCUUGAUAUGUCAAAAGUGAUAGCUUACGUAAUUUUAUGUCGGUUAAUAGUAGCUCCCACAGUCAGACUCCUCAGUGCAUUUAACCUGAUUUUCAGUUAUACAACAAUAUUCAGUCUCAGCAUGUUAUGUUAGAAAUCAGUACUUGGUUAUUGCAUUCAGUUCAAUUCAUUUCAGUAUAAUUCAAUAUUAUUGUUAUAAUUCAGAUUAUGUCAUUGCUUAGUUAUAUUUUCUUUAGCUUAUAUGUUUGUUCAAUAUUCUAUAUCCUGCAUGCUCAGUACAUUCCAAGUACUGACGCAUACUCUGCGCUACAUCCUUUCAUGAUGUAGGUUCAUGUCCUCAACAUUCAGAUCAUGCGUAGAUCGAUUUCCGAUCUAUACUCAGCAGCAUCAGUGGUGAGUCCUCAUACUUCGAGGACAAUAGACAUGUUUUCUAUUUCAGUCUUUCAUUUCGGUUUCAGUUUUGUUCCCCAGCUAACCCUAGUCAGUAGAGGCCUUUUCAGACAUAGUUUUAGAGUCAGCUUUAGCAUUUGAGUUAUUGUUCAGUAUCGCUAUCAGGGGUGGACCUAAGUGGAGCCUAGGGGGUUCACCCGAACCCCUCGUCGAAAAAUUACACUAUAUAUAUAAGGUAGACUUCUGAUUGUAAGCGUAUAGAUAGUAAAAUGAACCCCUUCAACAACCAAAAGAGGAGCGUGGCUCACUGGGAAGGAGGUUCAUUGCUAAAAUGCAUGUUUUGGGCUUAGAAUACCCAAUAAAAUGCCUCAUUAUUUUUGGAUUCAAUCUAAAAGUAUAUUAUUUUUAACUUUUCUUUUUAUGUUUUAUCUUUUUCUCAAUUUAUCUUUGUUUAAAUUUAUUAGCCACAUUUUUUAUAUUUUUGUCUUUUAUUCUUCUUAUUUAUAUUGCUCAUUUUAUUUCUACAUAACUCUCUUCUCAUGUACUAACUUAAAGAAACUCUUUGAGAAAAUGAUGAAUUGUUAUUAAAUUCAAAAUUGAAUUAGAAUACUAUUAAAUAAAAUAAAGUAAUUAAGAUUAAUUGAAUGAAAAACUUUAAAAGUUGUGAAUAUUCUUUUAAUAAAAUCUAUUUAAUUGAAUUCUUUCUUAAUGUUAUUGUAUCUUUUUAUAUUUUUGUCUUUUAUUCUUCUUAUUUAUAUUGCUCAUUUUAUUUCUACAUAACUCUCUUCUCAUGUACUAACUUAAAGAAACUCUUUGAGAAAAUGAUGAAUUGUUAUUAAAUUUAAAAUUGAAUUAGAAAAUUAUUAUAUAAAAUAAAGUAAAUUAAGAUUAAUCGAAUGGAAAAUUUUAAAAGUUGUGAAUAUUCUUUUAAUAAAAUUUAUUUAAUUGAAUUUUUUCUUAAUUUCACUGUAUCUCUUUCUUACUAUUUUCAAGUCGAUUCUAAAGAGAUUAAAACUAAACUAAACUUAUUUGAUUGGUUCAUAAUUUUUUUUAACAAAUGAUUAACCUAGUAAAUUGAAUUAAAUGAACUAAAAAAAAUCGAUGAUGUUAUUUAUUUAUCUUCAGAAUAUGCACUAUAGUAUUAGUAACUCGAUCUUUACACAUUUCUAAGGAAUCUUGAUGGUUUUUAAAGUAACAUAUGAUUAAAUGUGCACUAAUUCAAAAUUUAGAAAAAAAAUCUAAAAAGUAGAAUACUGCAAAAUAAAAGGAAAGGCACUAGAAAUUUUAAAAGCUCGAUGGACCAGGGUAAAAGUAAGAAGAACCUAAACAUAACAUAACAAUAUAAGUUAAAUUUAGCAAAUUAAAAUUAAAAUUUUCCUCCCAUGUCACUCGGUUUUACAUCUUGUAACUUUUACGUGUUUACUUCUUUGUACUUCGAACCCCCUCAACAAAAAUUCUGGAUCUGCCACUGAUCGCUGUACUCUUAUUCUGUAUUUAUAUAUUCAGACCAGUUUUGGGUAUUCCCCACUAUUAGUUGUAAAUUGAUUUAGCUUCCACAUUAGUUCGUGUUUUCAUAGAUAUAUUCAGUUUACUUAUGAUAUGCCAGCUCAGGAUUAGCUUGGGUUCACUCGUGAUCCUAGGUCCCGUGUUUACUUCAAGGAGAUAGCCUCGAGACGUGACAUGUGGAGUCUCCGAUGAUGGAGAUGCACAGUUUCCAGAAUCUAGUCAUUAACAACGACAACAUUGUUGGUCACAGUAACUUCAAGAUGAUAUUUGUAAAUUUUGACUUCAUAAAUUUUAGCUAUUUCUUGAAAAAAAAGAGUAUUUUUUGUAAAAUAAUUCAUUCAUGAAUUGACGGAUAUAUAUAACAAUUUAGAGACUUCAAACGAACUUCUCCAAAAGCUUCCUAAUUUUUUUUCCCUUAAACCGCGUUGCCAAGAUAUUAAUGAAAAGUUACCUAAAAUGUUAUAUUUACACGGGAUUAAUAUUUUAACUUAAUUUUGGAUAUGCAUUUAUAUUUUAAAAAAAUUAAACACUUUAUGUCAUAUAUACUAUUAAAAUGUUAUAUUUACACCCUCUAUGAGAAUAUAUCCCUAACUAAAUAUAUUAAAAGAUAAAAUUAUAAUUACAAAUAAAAUAUUCUUACAUAUUUAUUUAUUGUGAAAUAGGUAAAACAAAAAUAUAUCCAUGUCAUUGAUUAGCCAUUUAGUAGAAACUAUCUAAUUAUACAAACAAUUCUUCAUAUAGUUUGAAAUAAUUACAUUUUAUAUCAAUAGUUACUAAUUUCAUAUCAGAUUUCAAAUCAAAUACAACUAGAUACAUGCAUUUUGCUACCAUAUACACUGAAAUAGGGAGAGAGGCAAGCUAGAACAAAAGAGGAGGUGAGCAAGAUAUGCUUAUGUAUAUCAGAUAUAUGCGAAUCACACUAAAUACAUGUAUCUGAGAUGCCAGAAUCAUAGGAGAAUGACGAGCGAGAUUUAUCUAAGUAUCUCAAAUAUAUGUGAAUCCACUUAGAUACAAUGAAUAUAGAAUAAAUUACAUCUAAUUUUGCCCUCAUGUAUCCUGUAAUAUAUGUAUCUGAGUUCUAUUUUUUAAUUAAUAAGUAAAUUAAAAAAUGUUGAAACAAGAAUUCUAUGAGUCACUACCCUUAUUAGUAUAAAUAUAUAUUUGUCAUGCUUCUUUUCCUUCCACAGAUUCCUUAUUUACAUCUCAAUUUUUUUUAGUUAUUAUUGAAGAUUAUGUUUGUGCUUAUGAGUUUGAUGUUAUAUUUUUUUAUGCUUUCUAACAAUUAUUAUACAAUCAAUUCUUUUUACUAUUUUACUUUUUGCAUAUUCAUGUUUGAAUCGAAGAAAAAUUCAUGACUUUUGAUCGUAUUUGAGUUGAUCAAUGACGAUAUUCAACAUAUGUAUCAGUUUAUUUUUUAUUUUUUGUGCAUAAUAGAUAUAUAUACAAAGAAAGUCGAAUAAUAUACGUACCAUUUAAAUUUAUUAUUUGCAAUAUAAACAUUGUAUCAAGUACUUUGAGAUAAACAUGCAACGCUCUCCCAGAAACUAGUAAAUAUAAAAUGUUAUAAAGCAUUUUAAAAUAACACUCAUUCAUUAAAAGUAAGAAAAACGAAAAGGUAGGAUUUUAUAGAACUGAAAUUGUGAUGGGCUUGAAAAAUAAUUGGAAAAUGCGAUUUUUAAUAUGAGAAUUUUGAAUUCCAUGGCCAUCUCCAUGGUGGUAAAUGGAGUGACUAGCUCUUGCAGAAUUUACUGCACACAUCCAAUGAAUGUUUUAGAAAAUAAUGAAUUAUCCCCUUGAGCUGUACUAUUGAUCAAUUUCCAUGUCUCUUUUAUCAUGAAAUUGAUGUGUUUUCUUGCAUCUUCUUCAAAACCACCCUUCUCAUUCAUGUAACAUUGAAUCGACUUAGGAACGUCACCUCUUUUCAUUUCAUCCUGAAGUAAUUAAGAUCAGGAACAUAAUCAUCUCAAAUAUACUCUAACUAAUGUUAAUUAUAACUUUCAAUAACAAAUCAAUAUAUAAGCAUGCGUACUGAGGAUGUCCCCAAAUCAUCGUUUAAACGAAUAAUAGUAGCAGACCAUCGAAUAAUAUCAGAACAAUUGGUUAAGGAAUCCAAGACCUCUUUGGUAAUUGGAUUUGUGACAAGGAACAAUGAGUGGACUAAUAUCAUAGGGGCUGCAAUAGUGAUUAAUCCACUAUCCAUGUAUUCUUCUAGACUUGGCUUAUAUCCACAGUAGUACCAUCUUGCUUCUCGUAAGUACGAUUUACACAAAUCUGCCCACUAAUUUAAUAGAAAAAUAUCUCAAAUAUUUAGAAAUGGGAAAAGGGUAAAAAAAUGCCCUUAAACUAUGUGAAAGGAACAAAAAUGUCCCCCGUUUAUAGUUUGGUUCAAAAAUGCCAUUGCAGUCGAUACUUUGGUCCAGAAAUGCCCCUAUAGUUACAAAAUGAGUCAAAAAUGUCAUUUUCCGAAUAAAUGUAUUACUUUUUUCUUUUUAAACACAUAUUCUUCCUGAUUAAAAUACUAUUAAAGAACACUAUUCUUGUCUUUUUUCUUCUAAAAUCACUUUAACAAAUAAAAAUGUAGGAAAUAUGUUUUUUCUUCUUAAUCUCUUUUUAUCAAUUAAAAUAGAAUAACUUCAUGUACCCUUUCAAUAGAUAAUAUAUGUCAUAUAUAUAAGAUCAUAGUAUAUCCAUCAUUAAUUUAUAUUUAUAUAACGAUAAAAAAAUAAUGAUAAUAAAAUAAGAAAUAUUUUCAUUUUUUAUUUUUUUCUGAAUUGAAGUAAGAUAAAAAUUUGCUAAUUCAAAAAAACAUUAUUAGAAAAAGAAUAUGUUUAAAAGAAAAUAAUAAUAUAUUUAUUUGGAAAAUGAGCAUUUUUGACCCAUUAAAUAACAAUAAGGGGAUUUUUAGAUCAAAGUAUUGACGACAAGGGCAUUUUUGGACCAAACGACAAACGGAGGGCAUUUUUGUUCCUUUCGCAUAGUUUAAGGGCAUUUUUGAACCAAAAUAUUGACGGUAAGGACAUUUUUUAACAAAACUAUAAACGGAGGGCAUUUUUGUUUCUUUCACAUAGUUUAAGGACAUUUAUAAUCCUUUUCCCUUUAGAAAUUAAAACAGGGGAAUCCAAAUAUAUAUAUAGAGAGAGCUAAGUAUUUUUACUGAUUUUGUAAGGUAGGGCAUGGCGUUGAUCCCUUGUUCUUUGAGAACUUCGUAUGCAAUUUCAGUGGUUGUGUUGAAGAGUGCAAGGUAACAUAUUUUCAUAUAAUCUGGAAGUUCGUUCAUUGCUUUUAUCUCCAUUCUGAAUGUAAUCAGAAAACUUUUUAGCAAUUCAUGUAUUGUUUAUAAGAGAAAAAUCUAAUUUGUAAAGGUUAGAAUUAAGUUACAGACCUUUCAACAGCAUGAGUGAAGAGUUCCAACUCAUCAAGAGUGCUGUAAACAUCAUACAUGUCAUCUAUAACUGUUGCCAUAGCAGUGACCUUUGUCAACAUUAUUCGACAGUAUUCGUUCUUUUGAGGUUCAAACAUCAUGCCAGCUAUCCAUAAGAAAGCCUCCACAAGUCUAUCCCUUGAAAAUGGCAAUUUUUCUGCAAGCAAUGACUUCUUCCACCACCUUAAUUUCAUGAAAAAUAAUGUUUCAGAUGUAGGAAACUUAUUGAUUGAUGCCUCAGAUCUCGAUUACUAAGCGUAUGGACAUGAAUUAUGGUGAUAUAUAUUUCUAAUAAUCUGAUACUCUGUGAUUUUCCCUAAGAGUUGCUACCUUUUUUUACUCACCUCGAUAGAUUUCUUAGAUCUUGUUGGUGUGUUGCUUGAACAAUGUUGAAAUCCAACUUAGCAAACUCGAGCAGGAGAGGAUCAACAUUUGGGAUUUUCUCAUAAAUUUUAAUGUACCACCUUGUCUCUACUCUCAACAUCUUGCAAUGCAAAGGAAGUUCCAGAGCAUGACGCACUAGUUCCACUGUCCCAUUCUCUUGAUGUUCAGUAUCAUUUAAAUUGUGCAAAUAGUUUUUUAGAUGGGACACUGUGAAUAUAUUGGCUGACUCCAAUAAAGUAGAGGUUUCAGAAUCCGUAGACAGAAAUGAAGCUUCAUAUAAUUGUAACAACCCUUUUGUAUCUUCACAAAGACUUUGUUUGAAGUUACCCUGCUCAUCUUUGAAAUCAUUCAAUAUAUCUACGGGGAAAAAAUGAGUAGAAAUCUUAUUGGUCGGAACAUAUAUAUAAAAAUGACAAAACGAAGAAAUUAGGAAAAAAAUAGAGAGCACCUUGAGAGAUAUGAAAACCAUGUUGUCUGAAGAGCCUAAACUUCAAUGCUGUAGAGUAUAAUGAAUUAUCUCCUGUGGUUGUACUACUAUUUUGGUUAUGUACACUUCUCAAUACUUCCAUAAUUUCAUCCUUAAAGUGGUAACUUACUCCUAGCCUUUGUAAAUUAUCAAUCAACUCCAACUUAGCAUCUAAUUGAUCUUGUAUUGAUCCCUCAACCAUAACCAUCAAAUUCUUUUUCAUUUCCUUCUUUAGUUCGUUACAACGCUUCAUAUACUUAUCUCCCUACACAACACACAUUUACAAAUUAUAUUUUGAAUGAUAGAAUAACGCACACGAAUAAUAUGAUAUAAAGAAAAUGUAGGUAUGUACCGCGUAAGGAUUGUAUAGGGUGUGAAUAAAUUGAAAAUCCCAGAUGGGAGGCUGGUAAUUCCCUGAACGCCUAAUGGGAUUAGAUGAAUGAUUAAGAAGUCGUGGUUCAGCUUUCAUGCCAGUGCCACCGUCACCGUCACCGUCACCGGUGGUUGAAAGGGAGGCUAGUGAUGAUGAUGGGAUGAAUAAAGAGGAAAAUUUAGGUAGAGAUUUUCUUGAGAUGGCCAUAGGUAUUAGCCUCCCCAAGUUGGCCAUCAAUAUUGCCACCAUUUUGUUGGUUUAUUCACUUUAAUGUGUGGACAGAUUAAUUUUUCUGAGCUCCAACAAGUAACUAUAAAUGGAUCAUUCCUCCCCAGAGUUGCUUGUCACACUACAUCAAAAAUGAUCUUUAGUGACAAUUAAUUAACGGUAAUAACUGAAUUAAAUUACCGCUAAAGAUGUAUUUUUAGUGGCAAUUAACACUCUUUGUAUAUGUCCCUGAAACUUUUAGCGACAUUAGAUCUAAUGGCACAUAACUAAUGCCAGUAAAACUUUAGCACUCUUUUUUUUUGGUUGUAGAGUCAGCAGCCUAUUGGAGGUAGAUAUGGUAAAAUGUUACUAAAUGCAGGGCUUAAUACAUAACUAACCCCUUAAAUUUGUCACAAUAUUUCAUUAAGACAAUCAAACUAAGUUAUUUUAAAAAAAAAUCAUCCACAUAGGCUUUCACAUCCAUGGUGAUGACGGAUUUGGCAUAGAUCCCUACCAUGCUAAUUAUAUAGACAAAACUACAAUGGAGGGGAACAAGAGCCAAUACUUCUAUGAGCAUUUCAAUUGAACAUUUCAACAGCUAAUUAUAAAAUAUUCUAAUUUGACAUUUUCAAUUCAAAUUUUAAAUAUUUUAGACGUUACUGAAUAUUGCCACCAUUUUAUUAAUUAUGUGCUUCCAUGCGUUUGUAAGUACGAGGGAUGAUUUUGGAUAUUUAAUUUGGCUUAUAAUGUAUCAUUUUUUUUAAUGUGUAAUGGGAGUAGAUGAUGGUCCAUCUAAUGCUUAGAUAAUUCAUUCAUUAGGGACCAUGUCAUCAUAAAAAACAAUGACUAAGUUAGAUCUUCAAGUUUGAAACUAUAAUGGAAAUAAAAAUCAUAUUAUUGAAGUUUCUUUUGACAUAAUUCAUCUUCAAGAUUUGUUCCACAAGAAUAUAGGUUUGGUUUUCUUAGAAAAUGUUAGUGUUAGGCAUUUGAUUUUUGAGAAUUAGAAAACACAAAUAUAGGGUGUGUUUGGUAUGAAGGAAAACAUUUUCCGGUUUUCUCAUGUUUGGUGGGGUUAAAUGUUUUGGAAAAUGUUUUACAAAUCAACUCAUUUUCCUCAAAUUUAAGGAAAAUGACUUCCCUUCAAAACUUAAGGAAAACAUUUUCCAAAACUAUUUUCCAAUUUCAAAUUACAAUUAUUUUGUCUCUACCCUCUAACCACCCCCACUCCCCCCCCCCCNNNNNNNNNNNNNNNNNNNNNNNNNNNNNNNNNNNNNNNNNNNNNNNNNNNNNNNNNNNNNNNNNNNNNNNNNNNNNNNNNNNNNNNNNNNNNNNNNNNNNNNNNNNNNNNNNNNNNNNNNNNNNNNNNNNNNNNNNNNNNNNNNNNNNNNNNNNNNNNNNNNNNNNNNNNNNNNNNNNNNNNNNNNNNNNNNNNNNNNNNNNNNNNNNNNNNNNNNNNNNNNNNNNNNNNNNNNNNNNNNNNNNNNNNNNNNNNNNNNNNNNNNNNNNNNNNNNNNNNNNNNNNNNNNNNNNNNNNNNNNNNNNNNNNNNNNNNNNNNNNNNNNNNNNNNNNNNNNNNNNNNNNNNNNNNNNNNNNNNNNNNNNNNNNNNNNNNNNNNNNNNNNNNNNNNNNNNNNNNNNNNNNNNNNNNNNNNNNNNNNNNNNNNNNNNNNNNNNNNNNNNNNNNNNNNNNNNNNNNNNNNNNNNNNNNNNNNNNNNNNNNNNNNNNNNNNNNNNNNNNNNNNNNNNNNNNNNNNNNNNNNNNNNNNNNNNNNNNNNNNNNNNNNNNNNNNNNNNNNNNNNNNNNNNNNNNNNNNNNNNNNNNNNNNNNNNNNNNNNNNNNNNNNNNNNNNNNNNNNNNNNNNNNNNNNNNNNNNNNNNNNNNNNNNNNNNNNNNNNNNNNNNNNNNNNNNNNNNNNNNNNNNNNNNNNNNNNNNNNNNNNNNNNNNNNNNNNNNNNNNCCCCCCCCCCAAAAAAAUAAAUAAAUUUAAGUUUGUUUUUAAAAAAUAUUUUCAACUUCAAAAUUUUAUUUUUUCACCCCAACCCUUGAACCCCCCACCCCAAAAAAAAUUUAAGUUUGUUUUCAAAAAUUAUUUUCUACUCUAGUAAAAAUAAAAGAUAUUUCUCAAAAAUAUUUUUCAUUCAUAAAUCAAACACUAAAAAUCUUUUCCGGAAAAUAUUUUCUACUCACCAACCAAACAUGAAAAAAUAUGUCAAAAAUCAACUUGUUUUCCAGGAAAACAUUUUUUAGGAAAACAUUUUCCUUCAUACCAAACACACCCAUAGUUUAUUGUCUUUUGGCCAUUAUUUAGGAUUUAUUUUAAUGAGAGUUUCUGAGGCCUUGCAAUUUUCUGAUGUAAGGUAGUUGCUAAGUCCUCAAAAUGCCAAAUAUUCAAUGUUUCUAAGUCAUUUGUGCAACGUUUUUUUUACAGGGUAUCAUCUUCUUUAUAGACUGUUUGGCAGGAAAAAAACAGCAAAAGUCAAUUCAGUUUAUCAUAAUUGAUUAGUUAACAAGUUGAUUAUACAUAGUCUAAAAUAGGGAAAAAGUUAUUGGUUUAUCAAAUUAACAAUAGUGCCAACAUAAAUUAGAAGUGUUUUAUAGGGUAUCUAAACUUAUUGUUGAGUUUAAUUGAAGGCUGAAGGUCUGAAGCUAUUGAAUCAUAGAAACUUAAUAAUAAGGAUAUAACAGUGUCGAGAAAACCUAUGCUAAGGCAUAAAAUGGUACUCCACCGUACAUCUUACUUGUCCACUGUAUUAAAAAUAGUUGUCCAAUAAUACUUAUCUAAUUUGAAAAAUCAAGAGAUAAUUUAAUAUAUUCAAAAGGUAAUCUAGUAAUAUUACUCUGGCUAUUUGUUGUUUCUUCAGAUAUGUGUCAAGUCGAUAGUGAACAAGGUUUUAUUAACAAGUCAUCCAUUCAUCCACCCUUUUAACCCAUGAAGGCUAAUUAACACACAACUAUUGCUUCUGCCUGAGAAUCAACUAUCUUAUUGGUCACAUCUAGCACCCCUCUAGGCUCCAGGCCAGCAGUCCCAAGCCGAGGACUCAAUCAUCGAUCGAUCUAACUCUGAUACUGAUGUCAUAGACCAAACAAGAGAGUCCAACCCAAAAACUAGUCUAUUAGGUAAGAGAUCCCAUUAGCUAUAAUUUGGCUGAAAAAAAGGACACUAGUAAGAAAGUCACCAAGAAGUUAAGAAAAUUAAUGGAAAUUGUUCACAUAAACUACCCAACAGCCUAAACUAUUUUCCAAAUUUGUGUAAAUAUAUAUAUGCUGCCAGCAACUUCAAACAGCUCAACACAGUGUCUAAACUCCGUGAUUUGCAUCUUUACCUUCUGAGAAAACUAAACGACCAUUUUGCAGCAAAAAUGCAGGAAAGGGUGCUUGACAAGAACUGGUAUGUGCUUUAAGACGAGGAAUGUUUGGAUGUGCACUUCGACAUCGAUGACACCUUAGCUCCAUAGAAAGGAUAUUCUCGUCCUUCAAAAUGGCCUUCCCAUUUUGACUAACUUCAUCUAUUACAUCAACCGAAUCCCGGAAGAAGGGGGAGUUGAAUGAGUUCCAAUGCUUCUUAUUCUUAAGAUGAUUGGAAUCAAAGUCUUGGCUUAUCACAUGAAGAUGCAGUUGACGCAUUGAAGGAACCUACAUGGAAGAAACUUCAUUAAAUUAAGCAGUAGGAGAUGUAGAAGAAAAAUGACUUCAGCAUUUUGACUCGAUGUGAGGGAAGAGAUCAAGAAGAGAAACAAAUGAUUAGGGUUGAACAAAGGAGGGAUCAGGUCAAUGACAGACCUAGUAUUUUUGACACCUAGCAUAAAUAUAUACAUGAAAAGAUACUAAAAUUUCAAUAAAAAUUUAGUUUCAAACCGGGAAAAUGCAUAAGUACCCCCCUAGCCUAUACCCAAAAUCUCUGAGACACACCUAACCUUUACUAAGGUCCUAUUACCUCCCUAAACUUAUUUUUUUAUUAAUUUUCUACCCCUUUUCGGCCUACGUGGCACUAUCCUUGAAAAAAAUGUCAACACGCGUUGGGCCCACAAGAUAGUGCCACGUAGGCUGAAAAGGGGUAAAAAAUUAUAUAUAAAAUAAGUUCAGGGGGGUAAUAGGACCUUAGUAAAGGUUAGGUGUGUCUUAGGGAUUUCGGGCAUAGGCUGGGGGGGUACUUAUGCAUUUUCCCCAAUAUAUUCAAAGGCGGAAUGGAUUCAUAGGUAAGAGUUUAAAGGUUGAACUCAUUGAAUUUAAAUCCUGAAUCCUCCUUUGGAUCUGCAGGAAGCUUGUUGGCAUGGCUUGAGUAAAGAACUAGGAGUAAGAAUCCCUAGUAAAAAGUCCAACACCCAAAACAUGCCCAUGUAUGUAACAUACCAACCAAUAUAAACAAAAACUAGUUCUAUUUACUCAACUUUGUCAUUUGUAAUAUGUUGACCUGGCCUUUGUUAUAUGAUGACCACCAUUAGAUGCAUACCAAAACCACCUCAUUUCAUUUAAUUUACCAGUUUCUCUAGCGGACUGGUGCCUGGUGAACUUCUCAUCCACGCAAAGCUUAACAAAUUUUGCAAAUAUCUUUAUAAUAGAGAUAAUGUAAUGAUAAGUUACAGAACACCCGAGAGAACAACCCACCUCCCAAAAAAAUAGAAAAAGAAAAAGAGAAGGUUGAGGAUAAAACCAAAAAGAAAAAAAUAAGAGAGAAAUAUCAAAAACACCCCUAAACUUGGCGCAAAUUAUUACUUUCAUCCCCAAACUAUUGACAACCUUAAAUAGAAUCCCCAGGAAAGUGUAAGCACCUGUAUACAAUUUCGAUUUUUCUUUCUAUAUGUAGAUAUGGCUUUCUGGAUAUUAUUAGAAAUGCCCAAAAAAAAAUCAUAUUCGUAAAGCAGAAACAUAAACGCACUCCUAUGAACGUGGAAAAUAUACCGGAUUCAAUGGAAUAUACCAAGCUAAAUCGAAUCGCUCGAAAGCACGGGAUGGGCCUUCCCUUCCUUUACGUCAUCCACCACCCUGUCCUAUCCACUCUCCCAAAAUCUCAACUCGUAAUUUGAAGAAACACUCCUCUACUUGACUAACUAAACUUAGAUACACCCCCGAUACACUCCCGAUAUGCAACACGACAUAGCAAGUGGUCUCAAACUCUUGUAGGAGCAUAAGUUCUUAAUAAAAAUCAAGAGAAGUGUUGAAAACACCCCUAAACUUGACGAGAAUUUAGGGCUGUAUUUCACUAAUGUUUCAAGAUCGAGAGUGUAUUUAGCUUUAAUUAGUCAAGUAAAGGGGUGUUUUUAAGGCUGUCAAUAGUACAUGGAUGAACCUAAUAAUUUGCGCCAAGUUUAGGGAUGUUUUUGAUACUUCUCUCAAGAAUAAAUAAAUAAAUAAAUAAGGGGGCACUCUUAUGUACUUCCUUUCAUAUCUCUUAAUGACUCUUAAAACACAUAAUAUUUGGAGAUGGUUCAACGUACCGAAUGAUAUCCAAGGCGGAAUGUCAAUGAAUUGUUUUCAGAUAGAAGCUUUUCUGCCCACUUCAGGCCAACACUGUGCAUUGUCUUUAAUAAAGUGAGGUGCUCCUUCUUAGCAUCUUCAAGACGGUCAAGACCUUCAACACGUGCCAACACUAAGAGGUGUUUCUGAGCCUGCACGAGAAAAUAAACCAUACAUGUAUUUUUCAAAUUCACAAGGGAGAAGGGCCAAAAAGCAGGGUGAGGGAGAGAGGAGGAUAACCUUUGGAUAAAGAUCAUUCAGUACUACAACAUCAUCUGACAUCUCUAUUAUAUUCUUAUGCCUCUCAGGAUGCAUUGCAGUGUCAUAAAGAGCCUGAGCCCAUGAGCCCCAUGCCUUUCUUGACUGUCCACCAGUGUUUCCAUCAUCAGAACUUCCAACAUUGGGUCCGAGUUCUUUCACAAAGCUUUUAAACUUCUUGUUCAUGUCUGUUUCACAGACAGCUUCACGCUUGGCUUUCUGAUCACCACUUCUAGAACCUUGCUCUAGUUGAACUUCUCCUUUAAAUUCUUUUUCAAACUUAUCCUUACAUGGCUCUUCUUGAGUCCUAACUAUAGAUGCAAAACCAUCAAAGAGUGAUGAGUAAGCUUCUCGGAGUAUUUUACAGCCCUUGACGUAGUCAUUGUCGAGACAGUUUGGUCUUUGGGGAUUCAUAUUUGGUCCAAGUACAUGUAUGACAUGAGUAACUCCUUCCCCACUAAACAAGGGAGAAAAGGAAGGAAGAGGGACAACAAUAGCUUUUCCAGAACUAAGGGAUUCAGCUUUAGCUUUGGUUGCAGUUUCAAGGGUGGGACCCGCGGCACUAAAUAUAGCAGCAUUUACGCCUCCACCUCCUGGUUUUAGUCGCCUGAACAAAGUUGGCUUUUAGAUGGCACACAAAAAGUUAACAACACAUAAUAUCCUUACAAUAUAACACUUAAGGUGAAAACACAGAAAGAAUGUGUAGACAGAAUAUUGUAUUACAACGAGUGGUGAGAUUACAAUUGAUUUGUAUCAAGGACCUGCUGGACAUUGUACAAAAAAUGAGAUAUCUGCAAGAUAUUCUAGCACCCUGCUAUUUUAAUGGAUUGCAUGCACACAACUGAUCAUCAAAACCACGUGUGUGUACCAAAUUGACUCAUGAAUCAUGAAAGUAAAUUUCUGCUGGAUAUAUAAAUCCCCAUAUUGCACCUCUGGCAAAAGAAGGUUAUUUCAGGCACAAGGCUACACAUUGUUCCAUUUGUUUAACAUGCCAUCAACCAACCUUAAAACUGUUUAUCGUUUGAAAAAUAGCACUUUAUCUCAUUGAAAUUUUUGGCAUACUUCCUUUUGCAUCCAAACUUAUAGGUAAAAUUUGGAGCCUCCUGAAAAGAUGGUGUACAAAUGAAUUUAAUGUACUACCACUUGAUCUCCCUCACAACUUUCUGGUCACUAAACAAAAUCUCAACAGCAGAACAUUCAAACAGAAAGAAAAAGGGAAGUUUCUGGUAAGCCUUUUGCAUUAUUAUAUCAAGUUUCUCAUUUUCACUAGCACAGUAUCAUGGCG